AUGUCCUCCUCUAGCACGGCCAUCUUCUCCGGCCUGAAUAAGAAUACCUCUGAACCACUCUCCCGCACCAAUUAUGUCCUAUGUCGCGCCCAGGCUAGAUCACAGAUCAUGGGCGUUGGCCUCUUUGGCUAUCUCGACCAGACUCCCCAAGAACCCUCCAAAACCAUCACAACCAAGAACGCCGAAGGGAAGGAUCAGGUUGUCCCCAACCCUUCCUACUCCCCAUGGCUUAUCCAAGAUCAGCAAAGAGUUGCAUACCUCCUUCGAAACCUAUCCAAAGAAGUCCUCAUCCAAGUUGCCUCCCUCGAGACGUCACAUGCGAUCUGGCAUGCAUUGGUAAACAUGUUCUCUGCUGUGUCCUUGUCUUGCGUCAACAACAUCUGA
This 384-nucleotide ribosomal RNA is filed under the name Triticum aestivum (bread wheat). RNAcentral describes it as "partial small subunit ribosomal RNA". Lineage: Eukaryota; Viridiplantae; Streptophyta; Magnoliopsida; Poales; Poaceae. The record is from RNAcentral.